This is a long non-coding RNA of Branchiostoma belcheri (Belcher's lancelet), 207 nucleotides long. RefSeq lists it as uncharacterized. The record is from RefSeq and is a predicted model, not a curated record. The transcript has 2 exons. NCBI's taxonomy places the organism in Eukaryota, Metazoa, Chordata, Leptocardii, Amphioxiformes, Branchiostomatidae.
ACAGGUGGACAUCUACCCGGAGAAGAACGCCGGUCCCGGCGGUGAGUUAGACACCAACGACAUCGGGUACAUCGACACUGAGGUGAACGGCCAGGACAUGGCCAAUGACUUGGAGUAGACCCGGAGGACCCCGGAAUGGCGAUGGUCCCACCGCAUCCUGCGUGUGCCGAGCACCAUCCUGGCCUUCCAGCCGUGACUGCAGAUCAG